This 1262-nucleotide ribosomal RNA is filed under the name metagenome. Its description in RNAcentral is "bacterial SSU rRNA". It matches the Rfam family "Bacterial small subunit ribosomal RNA", at positions 209 to 1462 of the family's 1533-position model. The record is from RNAcentral.
GGCCUUGCGCUCUUUGAGCGGCCGAUGUCAGAUUAGCUAGUUGGUGAGGUAAAGGCUUACCAAGGCGACGAUCUGUAGCGGGUCUGAGAGGAUGAUCCGCCACACUGGAACUGAGACACGGUCCAGACUCCUACGGGAGGCAGCAGUGGGGAAUUUUGGACAAUGGGGGCAACCCUGAUCCAGCCAUGCCGCGUGAGUGAAGAAGGCCUUCGGGUUGUAAAGCUCUUUCGGCCGGGAAGAAAUCGCAUGGGCCAAUACCCUGUGUGGAUGACGGUACCGGAAUAAGAAGCACCGGCUAACUACGUGCCAGCAGCCGCGGUAAUACGUAGGGUGCGAGCGUUAAUCGGAAUUACUGGGCGUAAAGCGUGCGCAGGCGGUUUUGUAAGACAGGCGUGAAAUCCCCGGGCUUAACCUGGGAACUGCGUUUGUGACUGCAAGGCUAGAGUACGGCAGAGGGGGGUGGAAUUCCACGUGUAGCAGUGAAAUGCGUAGAGAUGUGGAGGAACACCAAUGGCGAAGGCAGCCCCCUGGGUCGAUACUGACGCUCAUGCACGAAAGCGUGGGUAGCAAACAGGAUUAGGUACCCUGGUAGUCCACGCCCUAAACUAUGUCAACUAGGUGUUGGGUGGGUAAAACCAUUUAGUACCGUAGCUAACGCGUGAAGUUGACCGCCUGGGGAGUACGGCCGCAAGGUUAAAACUCAAAGGAAUUGACGGGGACCCGCACAAGCGGUGGAUGAUGUGGAUUAAUUCGAUGCAACGCGAAAAACCUUACCUACCCUUGACAUGCCAGGAACUUGCCAGAGAUGGCUUGGUGCCCGAAAGGGAGCCUGGACACAGGUGCUGCAUGGCUGUCGUCAGCUCGUGUCGUGAGAUGUUGGGUUAAGUCCCGCAACGAGCGCAACCCUUGUCGUUAAUUGCCAUCAUUUAGUUGGGCACUUUAACGAGACUGCCGGUGACAAACCGGAGGAAGGUGGGGAUGACGUCAAGUCCUCAUGGCCCUUAUGGGUAGGGCUUCACACGUCAUACAAUGGUCGGUACAAAGGGUUGCCAAGCCGCGAGGCGGAGCCAAUCCCAGAAAGCCGAUCGUAGUCCGGAUUGCAGGCUGCAACUCGCCUGCAUGAAGUCGGAAUCGCUAGUAAUCGUGGAUCAGCAUGUCACGGUGAAUACGUUCCCGGGUCUUGUACACACCGCCCGUCACACCAUGGGAGCGGGUUCCGCCAGAAGUAGGUAGCCUAACCGCAAGGGGGGCGCUUACCACGG